Molecule: ribosomal RNA, 483 nt
Filed under: uncultured bacterium
Lineage: Bacteria
Description: partial 16S ribosomal RNA
Rfam family: Bacterial small subunit ribosomal RNA
Source: RNAcentral
GACGAACGCUGGCGGCGUGCUUAACACAUGCAAGUCGAACGCUGAAGCUCAGCUUUUGUUGGGUGGAUGAGUGGCGAACGGGUGAGUAACACGUGAGUAACCUGCCUCCUUCUUUGGGAUAACGCCCGGAAACGGGUGCUAAUACUGGAUAUUCACUGGUCUUCGCAUGGGGGUUGGUGGAAAGGGUUUUUCUGGUGGGGGAUGGGCUCGCGGCCUAUCAGCUUGUUGGUGGGGUGAUGGCCUACCAAGGCUUUGACGGGUAGCCGGCCUGAGAGGGUGACCGGUAACAUUGGGACUGAGAUACGGCCCAGACUCCUACGGGAGGCAGCAGUGGGGAAUAUUGCACAAUGGGCGCAAGCCUGAUGCAGCGACGCCGCGUGAGGGAUGGAGGCCUUCGGGUUGUGAACCUCUUUCGCUAAUGGUCAAGCCGCAACAAUGGUUGUGGUGAGGGUAGUGGGUAAAGAAGCGCCGGCUAACUACGUG